GACGAACUUUGGCGGCGUGCUUAACACAUGCAAGUCGAACGGAAAGGCCCUGCUUUUGUGGGGUGCUCGAGUGGCGAACGGGUGAGUAACACGUGAGUAACCUGCCCUUGACUUUGGGAUAACUUCAGGAAACUGGGGCUAAUACCGGAUAGGAGCUCCUGCUGCAUGGUGGGGGUUGGAAAGUUUCGGCGGUUGGGGAUGGACUCGCGGCUUAUCAGCUUGUUGGUGGGGUAGUGGCUUACCAAGGCUUUGACGGGUAGCCGGCCUGAGAGGGUGACCGGCCACAUUGGGACUGAGAUACGGCCCAGACUCCUACGGGAGGCAGCAGUGGGGAAUAUUGCACAAUGGGCGGAAGCCUGAUGCAGCAACGCCGCGUGCGGGAUGACGGCCUUCGGGUUGUAAACCGCUUUCGCCUGUGACGAAGCGUGAGUGACGAUAAUGGGUAAAGAAGCACCGGCUAACUACGUGCCAGCAGCCGCGGUGAUACGUAGGGUGCGAGCGUUGUCCGGAUUUAUUGGGCGUAAAGGGCUCGUAGGUGGUUGAUCGCGUCGGAAGUGUAAUCUUGGGGCUUAACCCUGAGCGUGCUUUCGAUACGGGUUGACUUGAGGAAGGUAGGGGAGAAUGGAAUUCCUGGUGGAGCGGUGGAAUGCGCAGAUAUCAGGAGGAACACCAGUGGCGAAGGCGGUUCUCUGGGCCUUUCCUGACGCUGAGGAGCGAAAGCGUGGGGAGCGAACAGGCUUAGAUACCCUGGUAGUCCACGCUGUAAACGGUGGGUACUAGGUGUGGGGUCCACUCCACGGGUUCCGUGCCGUAGCUAACGCUUUAAGUACCCCGCCUGGGGAGUACGGCCGCAAGGCUAAAACUCAAAGGAAUUGACGGGGCCCCGCACAAGCGGCGGAGCAUGCGGAUUAAUUCGAUGCAACGCGUAGAACCUUACCUGGGUUUGACAUGGAUCGGGAGUGCUCAGAGAUGGGUGUGCCUCUUUUGGGGUCGGUUCACAGGUGGUGCAUGCCUGUCGUCAGCUCGUGUCGUGAGAUGUUGGGUUAAGUCCCGCAACGAGCGCAACCCUUGUUCACUGUUGCCAGCACGUUAUGGUGGGGACUCAGUGGAGACCGCCGGGGUCAACUCGGAGGAAGGUGGGGAUGACGUCAAGUCCUCAUGCCCCUUAUGUCCAGGGCUUCACGCAUGCUACAAUGGCUGGUACAGAGAGUGGCGAGCCUGUGAGGGUGAGCGAAUCUCGGAAAGCCGGUCUCAGUUCGGAUUGGGGUCUGCAACUCGACCUCAUGAAGUCGGAGUCGCUAGUAAUCGCAAAAGAGCAACGNUGCGGUGAAUACGUUCCCGGGGC
RNAcentral lists this ribosomal RNA (1345 nucleotides) under uncultured bacterium. RNAcentral describes it as "bacterial SSU rRNA". It matches the Rfam family "Bacterial small subunit ribosomal RNA", at positions 28 to 1380 of the family's 1533-position model. The record is from RNAcentral.